AGAAAAUUCGGACCGUCGAUCUGCCGUGCAAAUACUACCCGCUCGGUGGAAGAUCUACCUUUCGUCGU
RNAcentral lists this microRNA precursor (68 nucleotides) under Bombyx mori (domestic silkworm). RNAcentral describes it as "mir-2774 microRNA precursor family". It matches the Rfam family "mir-2774 microRNA precursor family". The record is from Rfam by way of RNAcentral. Lineage: Eukaryota; Metazoa; Arthropoda; Insecta; Lepidoptera; Bombycidae.